Molecule: microRNA precursor, 167 nt
Organism: Oryza rufipogon (brownbeard rice)
Lineage: Eukaryota; Viridiplantae; Streptophyta; Magnoliopsida; Poales; Poaceae
Rfam family: MIR812 microRNA precursor family
Source: Rfam
AAUAAACGUAAGUACGAGUUUCCGUGUCCAACUUUGAUCGUCCAUCUUAUUUAAAUUUUUUUAUGAUUACUAUUUUUUUUAUUAGAUUGUAAAACAUGAAUAAUACUUUAUGCGUUACUUAUGUUUUUUUAGUUUUUUUAAAAAAAAUAAAAUAAGAUGAACGCAUC